GAUGAACGCUAGCGGCAGGCCUAACACAUGCAAGUCGAGGGGCAGCACAUAAAGUGGUUUACUACUUUUGGUGGCGACCGGCGGACGGGUGCGUAACGCGUAUGCAACCUGCCUCCAACAGGGGGAUAACGGAGAGAAAUUUCCACUAAUACCCCAUAAUAUCAGAAUCGGCAUCGGUUUUGGAUGAAAACUCCGGUGGUUGGAGAGAGGCAUGCGUUGUAUUAGAUAGUUGGUGAGGUAAUGGCUCACCAAGUCAACGAUACAUAGGCGGCCUGAGAGGUUAGCCCCCCACACUGGUACUGAGACACGGACCAGACUCCUACGGGAGGCAGCAGUGAGGAAUAUUGGUCAAUGGGGGCAACCCUGAACCAGCCAUGCCGCGUGCAGGAAGACGGCUCUAUGAGUUGUAAACUGCUUUUACAAGGGGAUAAAUCGGUGUACGUGUACACCGUUGAAGGUACCUUGGGAAUAAGGAUCGGCUGACUCCGUGCCAGCCGCCGCGGUAA
RNAcentral lists this ribosomal RNA (506 nucleotides) under uncultured bacterium. RNAcentral describes it as "partial 16S ribosomal RNA". It matches the Rfam family "Bacterial small subunit ribosomal RNA", at positions 28 to 523 of the family's 1533-position model. The record is from RNAcentral.